This 404-nucleotide ribosomal RNA is filed under the name Tripterygion melanurum. RNAcentral's name for it is "partial 16S ribosomal RNA". It matches the Rfam family "Bacterial large subunit ribosomal RNA", at positions 181 to 869 of the family's 2925-position model. Lineage: Eukaryota; Metazoa; Chordata; Actinopteri; Blenniiformes; Tripterygiidae. The record is from RNAcentral.
UUGCCCAACAGCUAGCUCGCCUAGUAAAAUCAACCUUUGAUUAUUUAUACCCCCUAAGGCACUAUGUUUAACAACUAAAUCAUUUUUCCUCUUUAGUAUAGGCGAUAGAAAAAGAAGUAGAAGCGAUAGAAAAAGUACCGCAAGGGAAAGCUGAAAAAGAAAUGAAAUAACCCAGUAAAGCACAAAGAAGCAGAGAUACACCCUUGUACCUUUUGCAUCAUGUUUUAGCUAGAAUUAGUCAAGCAAAGGGAGCUGUAGUUUGACACCCCGAAACUAAGUGAGCUACUUCGGAGCAGCCUACACGCAGGGCACACCCACUUCUGUUGCAAAAGGAGGGGAGGACUCCCAAGUAGAGGUGACAAAUCUACCGAACUUAGUUAUAGCUGGUUGCCUGUCAAUUGAAU